AAGGCUGGCCCAUGUCCGUGACCUUAUCCCUAACUCGUGAACAAGCCGUCGCCGCACACCUGCAUUGCCCCUCCGUCUCUCUCUCUCUCUCUCUCUCAAAUCCGACGGCGGCACUGGUUUCUCUCCGGCGAGCAUCUCCCUGGCCCCUUGGCCCUACCCACGUACCCGGUGGUCGUGGGCAAUUCGUCUCCACAUGCCGGCUCUGUCGUUGGGUCUCUUUUCCCCCAACCUUGAUGGCGCCAGGGUUUGUUCUCCGGCGAGAUGUGCUCCUUUGGUGUUGAGGAUCCAUGUUUGGGACGUCAGAGCCGAUUCCUGAUCUAUUCCCCGUGGAGUCGCGGGAUUUCAUGAGCAUUGCCGAUACCCAGCUGGGUCGCGGCAGCAAGGGCACACAUCUGUGCGGGGACGCCUGCUUAGGUUUGCUCAGAAGCCACCAGCGGCUGGACCAUUAGCGGCUGUCCCCCAUGGAUGAGUUUGCCGAAGCGCGGCAAGGUGGACCAUACAUGUAAUGAAGGGCCCCAAAUCUUCCAGUCGGAUGGAGUCAGGGGCUUCUCUUAGUAUCAUCGAAGCUGAAAUUUGCAACGUGCUGAGCUUGGAAGCGGUGGGCAAAGUGGUGGAUUCCCCCCUGAAGCCGGUGUGUUCCAAGUUUGCGCUGAAGCUACCAGUGGAUGGACCAUGUAUUUUUGUCAAAUUCUUAACGAUGUCUCUGUAGUUCUUCGUGAUUUACUACAACAAUGGCUCCUAUACUAUUUAGUCGCUGAAAAUUCCAUUGUUAUCAAGAGCUUCCUUUUAUUCUUAGUAAUUCAUACAGCACAGUUCUGUCUAUUGAAGCUGUCCUAUUGACAACUGUUGCUGUUUCAUAUGAUACUCUCUUAACAGUAGGAACCUGAUUCAUGUAUGAUUUUGAAAUGGUUAAUCCUUUUCUGGUCUGCA
This is a long non-coding RNA of Triticum dicoccoides, 930 nucleotides long. RefSeq lists it as uncharacterized. The record is from RefSeq and is a predicted model, not a curated record. The transcript has 3 exons. NCBI's taxonomy places the organism in Eukaryota, Viridiplantae, Streptophyta, Magnoliopsida, Poales, Poaceae.